RNAcentral lists this ribosomal RNA (492 nucleotides) under uncultured bacterium. RNAcentral's name for it is "partial 16S ribosomal RNA". It matches the Rfam family "Bacterial small subunit ribosomal RNA", at positions 29 to 507 of the family's 1533-position model. The record is from RNAcentral.
AGUGAACGCUGGCGGUAGGCCUAACACAUGCAAGUCGAACGGCAGCACAGUAAGAGCUUGCUCUUACGGGUGGCGAGUGGCGUACGGGAGAGGAAUACAUCGUAAUCUACUUUUUCGUGGGGGUUAACGUAGCGAGACUUACGCUAAUACCGCAUACGACCUACGGGGGAAAGCAGUGGAUCUUCGGACCUGGCGCGAUUGAAUGAGCCGAUGUCGGGUUAGCUGGUUGGCGGGGUAAAGACCCACCAAGGCGACGAUCCGUAGCUGGUCUGAGUGGAUGGUCAGCCACAUUGGAACUGAGACACCGUCCAGACGACUGAGGGAGGCAGCAGUGGGGAAUAUUGGGCAACGGGGGCAAGCAUGAUCCAGUCAUAGCGAGUCGGAGAAGGAGGCCUUCCGGGUGUGAAGACGUUUUGUUGGGAAUGAAAAGCAGCCGGUUGAUACGCCGCUGUUCUGACGGUAACCAAAGAAUAAGCACCGGCUAACUUCGUG